Molecule: ribosomal RNA, 253 nt
Filed under: uncultured bacterium
Lineage: Bacteria
Description: partial 16S ribosomal RNA
Rfam family: Bacterial small subunit ribosomal RNA
Source: RNAcentral
UACGGAGGGUGCAAACGUUAUCCGGAAUCACUGGGCGUAAAGCGCGUGUAGGUGGUUUUGUAAGUGGACGAUUAAAUACCGAUGCUUAACAUCGGGAAUGUUGUCUAUACUGCAAGACUUGAGAAUGGUAGGGGCAGGCGGAACUUUGGGUGUAGGGGUGAAAUCCGUAGAUAUCCAAAGGAACACCAAUGGCGAAGGCAGCUUGCUGGACCAUUUCUGACACUGAGACGCGAAAGCGUGGGGAGCAAACGGG